RNAcentral lists this ribosomal RNA (478 nucleotides) under Solmaris flavofinis. RNAcentral's name for it is "partial large subunit ribosomal RNA". It matches the Rfam family "Bacterial large subunit ribosomal RNA", at positions 1836 to 2597 of the family's 2925-position model. Lineage: Eukaryota; Metazoa; Cnidaria; Hydrozoa; Narcomedusae; Solmarisidae. The record is from RNAcentral.
GCUAUUUAUAUAAAUGGUGUAACCUGGUCAGUGGCUAAUAUAGUUUAACACACGCCUUAAAAUGAGGGUGAUAAUGUAGCAUAAUAAAUUGACAUUUAAUUGGUGUAUUGUAUGAAUGGUUAAAUGUUUCUGAAAUUGUCUCAAAUAGUUAUACUAAAAAAUUUGAUUAGUUAUGAAGAUAUAUCUAUAAAAGUAUAAGACGAAAAGACCCCAUAAACUUUUACUCCAAAUAAUAUGUUUAGCUGGGACGGCUUCUUUUUAAAAAAACAAAAGAAUAAAUUUUCUUUUCUAAUAAGAAUUAUAAGACCAUUUCCUUUAAAAAAGGAAAUAUUAUAAAAUAAAAAGUACUUUGGGGGUAACAGAGUAAUAUUACUUUAAAGAUGUUAUUUAGUGUGAUGAUUACUACCUCGAUGUUGAAUUGAAGUAACCUAUAGGUGCAGAAGCCAUAAAGGUUGGACUGUUCGUCCAUUAAAAUUUU